GCUCCCAUCGUCUAUCGGCUAGGACGUCGCCUUCUCAAGGCGAAGAGGUUGGUUCGAUUCCAGCUGGGAGCGCCA
This 75-nucleotide transfer RNA is filed under the name Bradyrhizobium barranii subsp. apii. Its description in RNAcentral is "Bradyrhizobium sp. 38S5 tRNA-Glu". It matches the Rfam family "tRNA". Rfam says of the family: Transfer RNA (tRNA) molecules are approximately 80 nucleotides in length. Their secondary structure includes four short double-helical elements and three loops (D, anti-codon, and T loops). The record is from RNAcentral. Lineage: Bacteria; Pseudomonadati; Pseudomonadota; Alphaproteobacteria; Hyphomicrobiales; Nitrobacteraceae.